This 202-nucleotide long non-coding RNA is filed under the name Phoenix dactylifera (date palm). Its description in RNAcentral is "long non-coding RNA (PDAC_LNC022911)". Lineage: Eukaryota; Viridiplantae; Streptophyta; Magnoliopsida; Arecales; Arecaceae. The record is from RNAcentral.
GAAUAUCUAAAGCUCCCCCUCAAAAGAUGCAUUCUUCUUUAAUCAUUCUUUUCUAUUGUUGAAUUUCAGAUUUUAGUGAUAAACGUGAAUAAAACUGAAAUUCUAUGAUAUCGAGAAUGUAGAGUAAUCUAGUAUUAUUCAAAAUUUGUAGCAAUUACUCUUUCUAAUCCUUCAAGACAAAGUUAUGGUUUCUCUUAAUCUU